UUAACUGGAGCGUCUUCUUCCUCUCCCGCAUCGGCAUUACCUCCAAAGAUCCAGAUCUAACUGGGGGGAGAGUGAGGUGAGGGGGAGCAAGCUAGCUAGGUUUGUGCCACUGUGGUGGUGGGUGCUGCCUGGAGGAGAUGGAUGGAUGUAGACCGGGGACAUGAGCGUCCUCAUCGACAGCACAAAGCUCUUGACGAUCAGGCAAGCUCGAUCGUCUUCACCUCACGCCGGAGUAGUCGCUGACCAGGUACGCGCGUACGCCCGCCCUUAAUUAAUGCAGCCGCACGGCAUCACCUUGGCUUGUGCAUGUACCUCAUACAUGGUGCUUCGCCCACCCACACAGCAUCGAUCUCGACGGAGAUUAACCAAAAAAAGGGGAUGGAGGGACGGAGUUAAUUUCUGGAGUAGGAUGCUUGCUAGUACUACUAGUACUUUCAUUUCAUGCAUGAGAAAUUGAAUUAAUGGGUUCUGCCCUAGAGUCUAGACCUUCUUUCUUAAUUAUAGGACAGUGGGGAGGCCGCCGUCCUGGGGUAGAGCAUGGGGAUCUCAUCGCCGCCGCGCUCGGUGCUGUCUUCGCCACCGCCCUCGCGUACAAGGGGGAGGAGGUUGGCGGAGCCGGAGCGUCGAGCUCCAGUGGCUUUCAGCCUCCGACCAAACGCCUGCUCGAGGGGUUGGGGCACUCAGUAUGAUCAGAUCUGACAAAAUGAGCAAGAAGAAGAAGAAGACCAAGUUAUUUAAUUUACCUACGUGACAUUUUUUUCUGCCAAAUCAUUCCGACGAGUGGGUCCGGUCCUUCAGUGACGUCAUCAAAGCGAGUUUUUUUGCCACAGUCAACGAUAGUGUUCUUUCAUGAACCGUCAAGUAUAGUGGUUUUCCUUUAAUUGUGAUACAAAACAAAAGUGAUGGUUCGAUGCAUUUAAGUGUGGAAUAUCACAGCAAACUACAUGGGGCUCCCAGUAUAGUACUCCCUCCGUCUUAAAUUUUUUUGUCUUAGAUUUGUCUAGAAAUGGAUGUAUCAAAAUACUAAAACGUGACUAGAUACAUUCAUAUAUAGACAAAUCUAAGACAAGAAUUAUGAAACGGAGGGAGUAUGCAACAACGAUCUGAUGCUUACCAACUGAACCAAGUUUGACUCUUGAGACAAAUAUGCAAUCAGCACUACAAAUCCGUACUCUUCUCUUUCUCUCUCCACAUUGUGUUCUCCAUAGAUGUGUUUUAUUAUCUGUAUAUAUUUAUAUACAACAAGUAAUACAUAUAUCAUUAGUGUUCUAAAUAGUAAUGUAGAGAUUUGAAAUGUUUUAAUUAAAAGAUGGUCCCAGUUAUUUUGGAAUAAAUAUUUUAACUAUUACAAGAAACUAGUUUAAAAUAUUUAUAUAUAUUGGUUCUAUUACAAAUGCUUCACUUUUUUUUUAUAUACAGAGAAGCAAGUGGGCCAGGAAGAGAUAAGCACAACUGCUUGACUAGUCAGCCAAGGCGUCAUGAAAUACACAUUUUGUUAGGCGAGCACGACAACAUCAUCCCCUUCAUUUCAUUCCUUGCACGCGUGAAUGGAGCAUCGGACGGAUCCCAUUUGCAACAUGCACAUGGAGUCAUUAAUUGCACCUGGAAUUCCACCACAAUCUACCAUAUGCUUUUGACGAUGAACAAUAUAUCCAUCUUAAUAAUAUACUCCCU
RNAcentral lists this long non-coding RNA (1674 nucleotides) under Hordeum vulgare. Its description in RNAcentral is "long non-coding RNA (HVUL_LNC010749)". The stretch from base 959 to 1095 matches the Rfam family "MIR1120/MIR1122 microRNA precursor family". Lineage: Eukaryota; Viridiplantae; Streptophyta; Magnoliopsida; Poales; Poaceae. The record is from RNAcentral.